RNAcentral lists this ribosomal RNA (387 nucleotides) under uncultured bacterium. Its description in RNAcentral is "bacterial SSU rRNA". It matches the Rfam family "Bacterial small subunit ribosomal RNA", at positions 28 to 417 of the family's 1533-position model. The record is from RNAcentral.
GACGAACGCUGGCGGCGUGCUUAACACAUGCAAGUCGAGCGGUAAGGCCCUUUCGGGGGUACACGAGCGGCGAACGGGUGAGUAACACGUGGGUGACCUGCCCUCAGCUCUGGGAUAAGCCCGGGAAACUGGGUCUAAUACUGGAUAUGACUCCAUGACGCAUGUUGUGGGGUGGAAAGCCUUGUGCGGCUGAGGAUGGGCCCGCGGCCUAUCAGCUUGUUGGUGGGGNGAUGGCCUACCAAGGCGACGACGGGUAGCCGGCCUGAGAGGGCGACCGGCCACACUGGGACUGAGACACGGCCCAGACUCCUACGGGAGGCAGCAGUGGGGAAUCUUGCGCAAUGGGCGAAAGCCUGACGCAGCAACGCCGCGUGGGGACGAAGGCCU